RNAcentral lists this ribosomal RNA (263 nucleotides) under uncultured bacterium. Its description in RNAcentral is "partial 16S ribosomal RNA". It matches the Rfam family "Bacterial small subunit ribosomal RNA", at positions 524 to 781 of the family's 1533-position model. The record is from RNAcentral.
UACGAAGGGGGCGAGCGUUGUUCGGAUUUACUGGGCGUAAAGGGCGCGCAGGCGGCUUAUUUUGUCAGGCGUGAAAGCCCCGGGCUUAACCUGGGAACUGCGUUUGAUACGGAUGGGCUAGAGUUCGGGAGAGGAGCGUGGAAUUCCCAGUGUAAGAGGUGAAAUUCGUAGAUAUUGGGAAGAACACCGGUGGCGAAGGCGGCGACUCUGGACCGAGACGUGACGCUGAGGCGCGAAAAGCGUGGGGAGCAAACAGGGAUUAA